GACAAUCAAAAUGAAAACACCAAUCAAAGGAACAGUGUGACAUUAGAAGGUGUUAUACUUCUAAAGCUGUCCUUCUAAAAAUGCUUGAGAGGAUAACCUUGAAAGGGAAGGCUCAAGGGAUGUUUCAGCCAAGUGCUGUUGCCUUCAGAACUUCAAGGAUCUAAUGCUCCAAAGGACUCUAAAGUAAUUCUGGAGAUUACCUUACUGUGAAAUGUUGAGAAGACAUUAGACAGGCAAAGUUUUUGAUAAAUUUGUCUCCACACCUCUUGGUAGAAGUCUGUACUAAUCACUGUCAACUGAAAAAUGGACUGCUCGAAGAAGACAGGAUAAAUGCAAUAGCUACUCACAGCAGUGAGUCUCACAGAUUAACAGCUAUGUGGACCCUUUGCAGACUGGAAGAGUUCUUGGCAUUGGCUUUAGCUUAUGGGAAGGAAGGAAAUAAGAAAAAAAAUAGACAUUGAUUGCUUAAAAUGCAAUACCUUGAAAAGAGAAGGCUUAAUAUCCCACCUGAAGAGACUGAAGGACAUCACUGCUUGGUUCAAAGCAAUUUGGCAUUAAGGUAGCAAAGAUGGGAGCAGUUAUCUCAUAAGGUACAGAAACAAAAUUUAGAAAAGAAACAACUUGGUGAAAUUGUCUUUCACUCAACCCCAGACAUUUCCCUUGGUACCAGUGAAAACUGCCUGACACCUUUGCUUGUAAAAGAACUUCCUGCUGAAAUCAUCAGCGAAUAUUCUUCUAAACUGGUAAAUUGUCAUGUGAGAUAUCCUUGCUGUGAUACAAACAUUGAGCACUGGAAAUAUUAUUACAUUCUGCCCCAUUUUAUAUGUGUGUUUGGCCCUUUAAUAUUAAAAUAUUUUAUUACAUGUGAA
This is a long non-coding RNA of Pogoniulus pusillus (Red-fronted tinkerbird), 869 nucleotides long. RefSeq lists it as uncharacterized. The transcript has 4 exons. NCBI's taxonomy places the organism in Eukaryota, Metazoa, Chordata, Aves, Piciformes, Lybiidae. The record is from RefSeq and is a predicted model, not a curated record.